CCCGGGCCGUGUCGAUGGGAUAAUUACGAUGAUCUAACGGCCGGGCUCUUUUGCAUGCAGCCUUGCUGAAUGGGACGCCUGGAGGCUGCAUUGAGGCCGGCCGGUGUAAACUGUGGGGUGCCUCGCCGACUCGGAGCCGCGGAGGCUGGCGGCGGGUCAGCUCCGACCCCUGCGCAUUCAGCCUUUGAAUGGGCCGCCGCCUUUGAGCCGCGAGUGACAGAUUGGAGUUACUGUGUGCACACGCUCGUACACGGCAGUAGCGCGUGGAUGAAGGUCGGAGGACAACUCGUGGGAAUCGCUUCUCGCCAGUGGGUCCCAGGAACCGAACUCAAACAAACAGGCUUGGCAGCGAGAGGUUUUUAACCUGAUGCCCCCCUCCCACCUCCACUCCGGUUGUGGCUCCGGAGAAGUUCUCUGGCAGCUGACCUGGCCCCUGCCAAGGGCACCAGACCCCAGUCCAGUUCUCUUGGAGGGGAAAUGAGGGGGCGGGGUGAGAAUGGAUACUUGGUGCCUCAAAA
This is a long non-coding RNA of Mastomys coucha (southern multimammate mouse), 518 nucleotides long. RefSeq lists it as uncharacterized. The record is from RefSeq and is a predicted model, not a curated record. The transcript is spliced from 2 exons. Lineage: Eukaryota; Metazoa; Chordata; Mammalia; Rodentia; Muridae.